Molecule: long non-coding RNA, 295 nt
Filed under: Ananas comosus (pineapple)
Lineage: Eukaryota; Viridiplantae; Streptophyta; Magnoliopsida; Poales; Bromeliaceae
Description: long non-coding RNA (ACOM_LNC034169)
Source: RNAcentral
CAAGUCCAACUGAUCUAACAACCAACAGGUCACAUGCCCUCAGCACAAUCUGACGCCAAAACGACAUUAUGGGUUCACCGUCAACUCAGACGACACCCAACAGUCCGGAACAAUCUGAACGCUACUGUAAAAAUACACUCGGCAUCACAACACGAGUGUAACAGAAAAAUAAACUACCUGGGGUAUUCACCACGCUGAUACUGCGGCGAUACAAAAUAACAACGGCUCCUAGAGUUAAAUCAGAUAGUUUAAGCAUGUGACAGGUUCGAAUCGCAGGUUUUCUCCUAAGUCAAAU